UGUCAAAUAGUCAACUGUUAAACGGCCGACUGCCAAAUAUAUAAUCACAAUACUAUAAUCGUGGAUAAUAACUACAUGCCAUGAUCGUUAGUGGAUAUAAAUUGUCCACUAACUUUAUGAUUAUGGCCCGAUAAUCAGGAUAACUACUCCUUAAUAAUAUAAAAAGUGAGACCACAUGCUCGACGAUUACAUCCGAAUCAUCUAUAAAGGAG
RNAcentral lists this long non-coding RNA (212 nucleotides) under Elaeis guineensis (African oil palm). Its description in RNAcentral is "long non-coding RNA (EGUI_LNC022038)". Lineage: Eukaryota; Viridiplantae; Streptophyta; Magnoliopsida; Arecales; Arecaceae. The record is from RNAcentral.